RNAcentral lists this ribosomal RNA (1539 nucleotides) under Triticum aestivum (bread wheat). RNAcentral describes it as "partial small subunit ribosomal RNA". Lineage: Eukaryota; Viridiplantae; Streptophyta; Magnoliopsida; Poales; Poaceae. The record is from RNAcentral.
AUGGCGCUGCGGCUGCUGUCCCACCCGUCGCUCACGGCGGCGCAGCUCCGGCAGCUCCACGGCCACCUCCUCACCUCCGCCCUCCUCGGCGACCGCUACCUCCCAAACAUCCUCCUCCGCGGCCUCCUCCCGGACGCCCCUCUCCGCGCCCUCGCCCUCUUCCCCCGCCUCCGCCGCAUCCUCCCCUCAUUCCUCCCCAACAACUACACCUUCUCCUUCCUCCUCACCGCCUCUAUCGCCACAGCCAUCCCCAUUCCCUCGCCGUCGUUCCCCUCUUCGGCCCACACGCAGCUCUUCUGCGCGUUGCACGCGCUCGCGGUGACGCUCGGCUGGGACGCGCACGCCUACGUCUCCAACGGCUUCAUACACGCCUACGCCUCCCGCGGCUUCCUCGACGCCGCGCGCCGCGUCUUCGACAGUGCCGUCCUCGCCCGUACGGACGACGUCUGCUCCUGGACCUCGCUCCUCACCGCCUACGCCAGGGCCGGGCACAUGGACGACGCGCGCGCCCUGUUCGAUGGAAUGCCGCACAAGACGCCCAUCGCCUGGAGCGCCAUGCUCAGCGCCCAUGUCGGGGCGGGCGGCUUCGCGGAUGCGCUCGAGGUGUUCGACGGGAUGCUCAGGGCUCGAGUCCGGCCCAACAGGGCGGCUAUCGUUGGCGCAUUGGCUGCAUGCGGUGCGCUCGGGGCGCUGGAGCAGGGCCGGUGGGUGCACGCUCUCGUCACCGCUACCGCCGGUAGAAUGGAUGGUGGGGUGGCUACUGCGCUGUUGGACAUGUAUGCCAAGUGCGGGAGCCUAGACUUGGCAAGGCAGGUGUUCGCAGCCAUGCCGGAGCCCGAGCGCGACGUGUUUGCUUACACGGCCAUGAUCUCGGGGCUCUCAGACCACGGCCACUGCCAGGAGGCCGUCGAGCUGUUCAGCCGGAUGCGGGACCUGGGGGUGCGCCCCAACGAGGUCACCUUCAUUUGCGUCCUCAGCGCAUGUGCCCGUGCCGGUGGUGGGCUUGUCACCGUCGCUAAGGAGAUCUUCGGAAGCAUGUCUGCUAUCCACGGCAUCGAGCCAGGCGUGGAGCACUAUGGGAGCCUGGUGGACGUUCUCGGCCGUGCCGGGAUGCUCGCGGAGGCCGCGGCUGUGGCACGGGCAAUGCCGAUGCGGCCCGACUCGUACGUGCUAGGUGCGCUGCUCAAUGCGUGCCGGGUGCACGGUAGUGACGGCGUGAAGCUCGGAAAGCAGGUUGUGGAGUGGCUGGCGGAGCUUGGGCUCGACCACAGCGGCGUGCACGUGCAGCUGUCCAACAUGUACGCCUGCUCCUGCAAGUGGGAGGACGUGGUAAGGAUCCGGUCGGUGAUGGAGGAGAAGAAGGUGACCAAAGUGCCCGGCUGCAGCAUGGUCGAGGUCGAUGGCGUCGCUUGCGAGUUUGUUGCUGGCGACCGCUUCCUUGAUCCGUGCAUCAACACCGUCGCCAGGGGGCUCGAUCAGCAGCUCAGGCUGCUUGACCAUGACUACCGUCACCUCGAGGAGCUAUCCAACUUGGCGUAG